ACCAGACUCCUACGGGAGGCAGCAGUGGGGGAUAUUGCACAAUGGGGGGAACCCUGAUGCAGCGACGCCGCGUGGGUGAAGAAGCGCCUCGGCGCGUAAAGCCCUGUCAGCAGGGAAGAAAAUGACGGUACCUGAAGAAGAAGCCCCGGCUAACUACGUGCCAGCAGCCGCGGUAAUACGUAGGGGGCAAGCGUUAUCCGGAUUUACUGGGUGUAAAGGGGGCGCAGACGGCGAUGCAAGCCAGGAGUGAAAGCCCGGGGCCCAACCCCGGGACUGCUCUUGGAACUGCGUGGCUGGAGUGCAGGAGGGGCAGGCGGAAUUCCUGGUGUAGCGGUGAAAUGCGUAGAUAUUAGGAGGAACACCAGUGGCGAAGGCGGCCUGCUGGACGACAACUGACGGUGAGGCGCGAAAGCGUGGGGAGCAAACAGGAUUAGAUACCCGCGUAA
RNAcentral lists this ribosomal RNA (446 nucleotides) under uncultured bacterium. RNAcentral's name for it is "bacterial SSU rRNA". It matches the Rfam family "Bacterial small subunit ribosomal RNA", at positions 330 to 793 of the family's 1533-position model. The record is from RNAcentral.